GAGGGAAGCCGAUGUUGAGUGGGAAUCGACCACCCUUCAGUCUAUUUAAUGAACCUCGCCCUUCUCUUUAGAUCCCAUUCCCAAGUCACUGGAAAUCACUGAAGCCACCAUUGUUUCCUCCCUCUCCUCCUCUUAGAAGACCACUGAUCAAACUCACUAUAACGAUAAGAAUAGUAGCAAAUCCCUUGUUGGAGUUGAGAUAACCAUUCUGAUCCUUCUUUUCC
This 224-nucleotide long non-coding RNA is filed under the name Elaeis guineensis (African oil palm). Its description in RNAcentral is "long non-coding RNA (EGUI_LNC047409)". Lineage: Eukaryota; Viridiplantae; Streptophyta; Magnoliopsida; Arecales; Arecaceae. The record is from RNAcentral.